RNAcentral lists this long non-coding RNA (1076 nucleotides) under Cyanistes caeruleus (blue tit). RNAcentral's name for it is "lncRNA (ENSCCEG00000011864.1)". The record is from RNAcentral. Lineage: Eukaryota; Metazoa; Chordata; Aves; Passeriformes; Paridae.
GCUGAUGAGCAUUUUAUUUUUUAUUAUUCAGGCCGUGUCCCUAACAACAAAGCAGCUUUUGAAUCGCGCGGAUUACACGUUUAAAAAAUAAAUAAUGACGAGCCAGUCAUCUGAACUGUCCUUCUGUACCAAAUAUAAGACUUGGUAUCACCCAUGAAAUCGGUGUCCUGCGGAAAAGUCUGAUGAAUGAGCAAUCCUUAUGUGUCAGGGGAGAAGAGGUAAGUGACCUAUAGACUUGAGGACUCUUGGCUGUUUUGUCAUUCUUCUAAAGGCUGGGUGACCAAGUUAUAUAGAGUUACUGAAAUAGCUUUUUUGGAAAAGGAAAAUAUUUUAUAUGUUUUCCAUAAAGACCAUUAUUUUGUUAAACCACUAAUUUACACAGAGAUUAGGACAGUAUGCUAAAGUCCAUUGGAAUUGUUCUUCCUUCUGAAAGCCCAAACCAAUUUAUCGUUCGAGGGACGCUCCUCUUCCCACUCCAGCCAGGGGUAAAACCCAGACAUGGAGAAGCAAGUGUUGUGCUCUUUUUUCCACAGUGGCAGUCACAAUGUCAGGACCUCAGUGGCAGGAUGCACCUCAGCACAGCAGGUUUUGGGGAAAGAAGAGGACACGUGGAACAAUUACGAUGAGAAAGGAGCAAGCUGCAGAUGGAGAAGGUCUGCAGCUUUCCUUCCUGCUGAGUUACAAACUCACUCCUGCUUUAUUCCUCCACUUGGCACUUCCCUGCCUUGGCUCAGAGCACGUAGGCUUCAUCCUCUUGAUGAUCAGCUGAGGAGCAGAUGGAGGAUCAGAGGAGCAGGAUGGCUGCUUUAUGAGGUGUACCCAUGGCAGCAUUCGUGGAAACAACCAACAAGUGACCACGAGCCAGGAUUUCAAAUGCUGCAAUACCCGAAGUUGGAAUGUAGGGGAAGUCAUAGUCAAAGUCAUAGAACCCAGGGAUCCUGCAGUUUUAAAUUUUUCUCAGCUUUCGUUUAAAGCAAAGUGUCUAAUGUUCAUGUUCUCAAACAAAAGCUUGGAAAUGGGAAGCCUUGAACAUCAAAGAAAAUAAAAGAAUCCAAAACUGAUGAUUUUUUUUAUUU